RNAcentral lists this ribosomal RNA (729 nucleotides) under Staphylococcus succinus. Its description in RNAcentral is "bacterial SSU rRNA". It matches the Rfam family "Bacterial small subunit ribosomal RNA", at positions 60 to 771 of the family's 1533-position model. The record is from RNAcentral. Lineage: Bacteria; Bacillati; Bacillota; Bacilli; Caryophanales; Staphylococcaceae.
AGUCGAGCGAACGGAUAAGGAGCUUGCUCCUUUGAAGUUAGCGGCGGACGGGUGAGUAACACGUGGGUAACCUACCUAUAAGACUGGAAUAACUUCGGGAAACCGGAGCUAAUGCCGGAUAACAUAUAGAACCGCAUGGUUCUAUAGUGAAAGAUGGUUUUGCUAUCACUUAUAGAUGGACCCGCGCCGUAUUAGCUAGUUGGUAAGGUAAUGGCUUACCAAGGCGACGAUACGUAGCCGACCUGAGAGGGUGAUCGGCCACACUGGAACUGAGACACGGUCCAGACUCCUACGGGAGGCAGCAGUAGGGAAUCUUCCGCAAUGGGCGAAAGCCUGACGGAGCAACGCCGCGUGAGUGAUGAAGGUUUUCGGAUCGUAAAACUCUGUUAUUAGGGAAGAACAAAUGCGUAAGUAACUGUGCGCAUCUUGACGGUACCUAAUCAGAAAGCCACGGCUAACUACGUGCCAGCAGCCGCGGUAAUACGUAGGUGGCAAGCGUUAUCCGGAAUUAUUGGGCGUAAAGCGCGCGUAGGCGGUUUCUUAAGUCUGAUGUGAAAGCCCACGGCUCAACCGUGGAGGGUCAUUGGAAACUGGGAAACUUGAGUGCAGAAGAGGAAAGUGGAAUUCCAUGUGUAGCGGUGAAAUGCGCAGAGAUAUGGAGGAACACCAGUGGCGAAGGCGACUUUCUGGUCUGUAACUGACGCUGAUGUGCGAAAGCGUGGGGAUCAA